UUUUUCUUGAGUUUUCUUUUUCCGUGGUUAUGUGGUCUGGAAACUGGAGAAGAUGACCUCUUAUUUCUUUCUAGAGUGGCUUGUCAUCCUCAAAACCCUUCCUAGACCUUGCCAUUUCCAUCUUGGACCAACCCCAAUAUUCUUUUCCUUGGGAAUAUUCCUUUUUCUAUUAAAGGAAUAACCCAAUUUGCCCUAGGUUGUGAAGAAACCUAUAUUUCCAUCACUCCUAAAAUUCCCAAAUAAUUCUCAUAAAUUGUUUGGGUCAUAUCUUCUUCAAAUGUGGCAAAAUAUUUCAUUUUCCAUGUUCUUCAUCAUGCUCAAUUAAUUCCUUCCCUAUUUUGUCCUGAAUGGCAGUUUGUGAAGCAAGCGCCAUUUACCUUUGCCCAAUUGACCUCAAAGUUUUUGGAAACCUUUUCAUGUCAAAAUAAAUGUCUCAUGCCAAACUUCAACAUAAUUUUCCUAGUAAAUAUUCCCGAGCAUUUUUUCGAAGUUCCUGUCUGAGGGAAUUGUUUGUGAAGUACUAGUUAGGUUAACCCAAUUGAGUUGAAAUUUGGAUGGUCCUUGAUAUCAUCAAAUAAAAGCCCUCCUAAAGAUUUGAGCUCAUGCAAUGCAUCCAUGUGAGCUUAGCAUCAAUUCUUUGUUUCUGUCCAAAUUUUCAGUUAGUGAAGCAAGUAUAUUUUAUCUUGCUUAAUUACUGCUGAAAAUUUUCCAGGACCUUCUCCUACCGAUAUAACCUAUACCCACAAGAUUUGGGCUCAUUUCAUCAAGCCAUUUUCCCUCAGGAUUUUUCCUAAGUUUCUGUCCAGAGAAGUGCUAUAUGAAGGAAGUACCAUUUUGGCUUAGCCAAAUGGUAUGAAAUUUUUGUGGAACACUAAUAUGACCAAAUAACCCUUCCUGGCCAAAUUUCAGCUCAAGUGGCUUCUUCAUUUGAGUGCAUCAUCAUAAUCUUUAUUCUAGACCAUAUUGGUCAGUUACAAAGCAACUAUGUUGUUUUGCGGCCCAUUUCUUCUCUAAAACCCCAGGACUAUAGUCCUUCCUAACCUAAACUCCCCAAACAACCCAUAUGGACCAUAGCAUUCCUAUGGUGAUCACUGCAUCACGAUUAAGUUUGAUGCAGCAACAUUCAGAGCUCAAUUCCCAUCUAACCACUGCACGUUUCUUCGAGCUACUCACUCAGUCGAAACCUCCCUCGGAAGGACUCUCCCCAAGACAACCAUUUACAGUCAUUUAUCUCCUCUUGAUGCCAGCUCAGGCGGUGACCACGGGUCAUGCCAGCCAAACGCGUGCUCUGGCGCCUCUGUCCUCUUCUCUUGCUCUCUGCUCAGCGUCUCAGCGAGCACGGGCAUGUCUCCUAGCUCCCCCUCAUCGUCAUCUUCUUCCUGGAGCUAUCUCCCUCUGCGGAAGCCUCUCCGUCGGUGCUCGUCGCCGAGCACCCACGGGCGUACUAUGGCCGACAAGGCAUUUAAGGCGUUCGGCUUCUUCUCCCCUGCGCCCCUUGGCCUCCUCUGCUCCGUGACCCUCUGUAGCGUGUCCGCUUCUCCCUCGUCGUGUUCCCGCACCUCCCCGUGACCGAUGAGCGUCGCCAGGGCCUUGGCCGAACUUGCACGGCGGCGACCGGCUCGGCCUUCCCCGCCCCGGCUAUAUAUAGCCCCUCCCCGCGGCUCCCGAGCACUCCAUCGACCUCAUCUAGCUCCCAGCUCUCUCCCGAGCCUCUCAACCCCUCGCCGGAGCCCCUCCUGUCCUCCCGCUGCCACCACGGCCAUCGCCGGCCGCCGCUCAAAUUCGAGCAGUCCGGCCACUCCCCCUCACUUAGCUUCCACCAGAGGAGCCCCCUCGAUCCCCUGAUCCUCCCCACAUCUUCCUUUCCCCUCCGGAGUAACCACAUCGCCGACUGCAUCCAUGGCCGACGACCUCCUCCGCUGGCGUCCCUUCUGCUGCUCCCUCCUUCCUCCUUGGAGGUCGUGCCAUGCACCAGUCGAUGCGCCCCGUUCCCCUGAUCACCCCAGUAGGCGGAGCGGCGCGAGAGGUGGCCGGAGUCGCCGGGGAUCCUCGCCGGGGCUGUCGGGCUCGCUCCCGCCUCUGCACGCCGUCGGGGUGGAGAAGAAGGAAGAGCAGGGAGGAGAGAGAAAGAGGCAGGCCCACCUGUCAGCGAGACAAGUCCCGGUCCCGCCUCUGUCACGUCACUUAAGUGAAAGCGGAAUUCCUAGAAUACACUUUCCAGCUGACCGCUGGCCGAAUCCUCUAGUUUGUGAACGUUCACCCGUUAGUAACAGAAAAGCAUAUAUUUUUAUUUGUUUUUCUGCUAACGAACGAACGGCUGUAACUUUUUGCUCAAGACUCCGAUUGAGGUGAAUCCAAAGCCUAAUUAUUCGUCUCGUCGAGCCCGUUCUGUUGGUGUCACUUUCAUUAUGUUUUGACAUACUGGAAAUGACCUUUUUGCCCUUGCCCCUAAUCAGUCCCUUUCGAGAGAGAAGUGUUUCCGGCAAAUCUUUCCGCGAUCUUUCCGCACAUCUUCCCGAUGGUUUCUUCAUCCCCAGGCAAGCCACAACACCCACUUGCAUGAUGGCCAUGCAGUAGCCAUGGUUUUCAACUUGAAUAUUUAAUAAAUGUCUGCUUGUUUUGAUACGGUUAUCGUUGUUUUGGUGAUGCUUAUGGAUUUGUGUUCACUAUCAUGCUAUGCUUUCUUGCACUUUGUUAUCAUGAACUACUUGCUAGUAUUACUUUCAUA
This is a long non-coding RNA of Aegilops tauschii subsp. strangulata, 2728 nucleotides long. RefSeq lists it as uncharacterized. The record is from RefSeq and is a predicted model, not a curated record. Lineage: Eukaryota; Viridiplantae; Streptophyta; Magnoliopsida; Poales; Poaceae.